GGCGAGGUGGCAGAGCGGCUUAAUGCGGCAGUCUUGAAAACUGUUGAUGGGGUGACUCAUCCGUGGGUUCAAAUCCUACCCUCGCCG
RNAcentral lists this transfer RNA (87 nucleotides) under bacterium. RNAcentral describes it as "tRNA-Ser". It matches the Rfam family "tRNA". Rfam says of the family: Transfer RNA (tRNA) molecules are approximately 80 nucleotides in length. Their secondary structure includes four short double-helical elements and three loops (D, anti-codon, and T loops). Further hydrogen bonds mediate the characteristic L-shaped molecular structure. tRNAs have two regions of fundamental functional importance: the anti-codon, which is responsible for specific mRNA codon recognition, and the 3' end, to which the tRNAs corresponding amino acid is attached (by aminoacyl-tRNA synthetases). tRNAs cope with the degeneracy of the genetic code in two manners: having more than one tRNA (with a specific anti-codon) for a particular amino acid; and 'wobble' base-pairing, i.e. permitting non-standard base-pairing at the 3rd anti-codon position. The record is from RNAcentral.